This 510-nucleotide ribosomal RNA is filed under the name uncultured bacterium. RNAcentral's name for it is "partial 16S ribosomal RNA". The record is from RNAcentral.
GGAGUUAGCCGGUGCUUCUUCUGUGAGUGAUGUCCUUCCUGCCGGUUAUUGACCCGCAGGCCUUCUUCCUCACUGAAAGUGCUUUACAACCCGAAGGCCUUCUUCACACACGCGGCAUGGCUGGAUCAGGGUUGCCCCCAUUGUCCAAUAUUCCCCACUGCUGCCUCCCGUAGGAGUCUGGGCCGUGUCUCAGUCCCAGUGUGGCUGAUCAUCCUCUCAGACCAGCUACGGAUCGUCGCCUUGGUGAGCCGUUACCUCACCAACCAGCUAAUCCGACAUAGGCUCAUCCGAUAGCGCGAGGCCCGAAGGUCCCCCGCUUUCCCCCGUAGGGCGUAUGCGGUAUUAGCCUGGGUUUCCCCAGGUUAUCCCCCACUACCGGGCAGAUUCCUAUGCAUUACUCACCCGUCCGCCGCUCGCCACCAGGGAGCAAGCUCCCCGUGCUGCCGCUCGACUUGCAUGUGUUAGGCUCGCCGCCACGCGUUCAAUCUGAACCAACGAUACAAUUACUGA